Molecule: ribosomal RNA, 481 nt
Filed under: Papaver somniferum (opium poppy)
Lineage: Eukaryota; Viridiplantae; Streptophyta; Magnoliopsida; Ranunculales; Papaveraceae
Description: eukaryotic LSU rRNA
Rfam family: Eukaryotic large subunit ribosomal RNA (bases 341-481)
Source: RNAcentral
UGCAGAAUCCCGUGAACCAUCGAGUUUUUGAACGCAAGUUGCGCCCCAAGCCUUCGGGCCGAGGGCACGCUUGCCUGGGCGUCACGCACCGAGUCUCCCCCUCCAACUCAUGUCCUUGGCGCCUUCUGGCGACAUUGGCAUUGGGCAGUGAAUGGGGAGGACAUUGACCCCCCGUGCCUUUAAAGUGCGGUCGGUCUAAACACAGGCCCUGGGAGGCCGGCGUCACGAUUCGUGGUGGUCGACACUCGUUGUCUCUCUUCAUUCCUGAAUCCGUGUCUGCUGUGCUUACCGUGAAGGACCAUAAGGAACCCAUCGGGCCAUAAAUAUGGCACCCACUCUGCGACCCCAGGUCAAGCGGGACUACCCGCUGAAUUUAAGCAUAUCAAUAAGCGGAGGAGAAGAAACUUACAAGGAUUCCCCUAGUAACGGCGAGCGAACCGGGAACAGCCCAGCUUGAGAAUCGGACGGCACCGCUGUCCGA